AAAUACAAUAGGUAACAAAACUCAAACGUAAAUGUAGUCUGGUAAAAAAUUAAAUGGGAGAUUAACUGUGAUGGGUAAGAAAUUAGGUGUUAUUACCAGAACACGACAGAACUUUUUUUAAUUACUGUUAUAUUUUCGAGUUUUUUUUAUUACCCAGCGUGCCCCUACUAAACGUUACCGGAAAAAACGUAAUUACAGGGAAUGCCACUGCCACGUCAGAAUUUGCUGACGUGGAUUAAAUGAACUCAGCCGGCUGAGUUACGGUAUGUUGCGGCUGACUUACGUCAAAAAUAUAUGAGUCAUAACAAAACGGCGAAGUAUGAGUAUAACUCAGCCAGACGUUACGGCUGAGUUGUAAAAUGUUGCCUGAGUUAUUGUAUAACUCAGGCAACGGUAUGGUUGAGUUAAGGAUGGUCGGCCGAGUUAUAAGAAGUUAUACAAUAACCCAGCCAACAAUAUGGCUGAGUUAUGAGAAAAAGGCUGACUUAUUUCCUCGACGCGGCCGAGUUAUAGUUUUGAUCGGCUUAGUUAUGGAAAGAUGUUACGGCUGAGUUAUUGUCGAGUGAAAUAAAUCAGCCGCCAAUAGCUGGUUUACGAUAUAACUCAGCCAUGUUAUGGCUGACUUAUUGUUAAAAGAUUAAUUACUAUAAUAUCAUGCAGUUAUGGCCGAGUUGUUGAACGUUACGGUUGAGUUAGUUGAGUUACGACAUACCACGGCUGAAUUAACUUUGUUUUUUUUCCUGUUUUAAUUACUGUAAUAGUAUUCAUGUUGCGGCUGACUUAAAGAUUUGCUUCAUGGCUGUGUUAUGAAAUGUUCGUUUGGUGGCUGACUUGCCACGUCAUCACUUCAAAACGGCGUCGGCUGUAAUAAUCCAUGUCAUCAUUCCAUGUCAGCAUCCUCGACGGAAAUACGAAAAGUCUCUUGCUUUAAAUCGUUUUCCCAGAUUGUGUCCACCGCCUGAACGUUACAACAUCACCGGAACUUUCUUUUCUUCAUUCAUCUUCUCAUACAUCUUCAAUUUCUUUCAUCUUUCUCUUGAUAUGGCUGGUCCCGCUACGGUCAUAGUUGUUUCCGGUUCGUGGGUAAAGAAACAGAGAUUCGUAUUUAACCCCGACGAAAGAGGGUGUAGAGUUGUGCAGCUAGAAGCGGAAAGAGCAGUUUACGAUAGUCUUUUCAAGACGGUGAUCGAUGAUUACGGAGUGAAUCAGUCGACCCAUCAGUUACGGCUGAGUUACAUGUUCUCCAACAAGACUCUGAAAACUAUGCCCUUCGAUACUCCACCAGUUUAUAUCUCCAAUGAUCGACAGUUGCAAUGUUAUCUAGGUUUGACGAAAUUCGAGCAGCUACGUCUCUGUGUGGAGUUUACGGCGAAAGAUUCAAGUGAUAUUAGUCGGAAGGACGGAUCAAGAGGAAGGGGUUCGAAACGCCCUAUUGAAUCUGACUCAAGAGCAGAAUCUAGAUUCGAAGUUCCGGGUCGGGGGUUUGAAGGUGUCUGUUACGAUUAUCAAGACGAUGAAGCAGGGGACGAUGAAGCAGGGGACGAUGAAUCAGGUGUCGAUGAAGCAUCUGACAAAGAAGCAAGUGACGAAGAAGCAGAUGAUGAAUUUUCUAGCCGGUUUGAUUUUUUCGACGACUCCGAUGGUGCCUCAUCUGAUGAUGAAGACUUUGCUAUAUACGGCGAGCCUAAUAAUAAUGACGAAGAUUCAUCGAAACCUUCUCCUUCGAAGAGAUCUCAGACCAUGGAAUUGAUCGGAUCUGCUGGGAGCCUGACUGAUUUAAAGUUGGAGCUGUCUACGCUAACACUCGCGGUAGGCCAAAAAUAUCGUAGCAAAUUCGAGUUGGAGUAUCGACUCAAACUUCUUGCGAUAAGGGAUGGGUUUGAUUUUGAUGUACCAACUUCUAAUAAGACUACAGUUAUCUUACGAGUGCUGGGUGGAUAGAUGUCUUUGGAGGGUUCGUGCAUCUAGACAAGGAAAUG
This 1979-nucleotide small RNA is filed under the name Arabidopsis thaliana (thale cress). Its description in RNAcentral is "ATSL110910". Lineage: Eukaryota; Viridiplantae; Streptophyta; Magnoliopsida; Brassicales; Brassicaceae. The record is from RNAcentral.